Molecule: long non-coding RNA, 494 nt
Organism: Ornithorhynchus anatinus (platypus)
Lineage: Eukaryota; Metazoa; Chordata; Mammalia; Monotremata; Ornithorhynchidae
Exons: 3
Source: RefSeq, a predicted model, not a curated record
UAACAUAAGAACGGCUCUUUGUCGGCGCGAUAUAUUGGUAGUUUUCAGUCUCUUUCAUUGUCUUUUGUGAUGUUUAUUUAGUCUUAAGGCUUCUUCCACCAAUACCUUUUAAGUUUGAAGAAGGCACCAUUUGAGUGCCUGCUACGCCGGUGUGAGUGUGGGCGAAGGAGAGACCUGCUGGGCUUUCGCUGGACCUUUCCCUUCUGGCUGAAGAGACGGUCUUCUGGGCUACGUGGGAACUGGAGGGCAGGGACUCGUUCACCUGUUCUCAUGAAGCCAGCAGCGAUUCUCUCAAAAAUCCACCAGAGAGCAGGGCAACUCCAACUCCCGCACCUUGUAGGGGAUGGAAAUGGAUGGAGACAGUUACACUGCCAAAAACCUUGGCCUAACACCACAGAUUGCAGUUCCUUUCAAAGGUCAGCGCAUAUUUAAGUUUGCUUCAUUACUGCCACCUUUAUGCCUGAGAUUUUCAUUAAAAAAAAAAAAAAAUCAGU